This 492-nucleotide ribosomal RNA is filed under the name uncultured bacterium. RNAcentral's name for it is "partial 16S ribosomal RNA". It matches the Rfam family "Bacterial small subunit ribosomal RNA", at positions 30 to 507 of the family's 1533-position model. The record is from RNAcentral.
AGUGAACGCUGGCGGUAGGCCUAACACAUGCAAGUCGAACGGCAGCACAGUAAGAGCUUGCUCUUACGGGUGGCGAGUGGCGGACGGGUGAGGAAUACAUCGGAAUCUACUUUUUCGUGGGGGAUAACGUGGGGAAACUUACGCUAAUACCGCAUACGACCUACGGGUGAAAGCAGGGGAUCUUCGGACCUUGCGCGAUUGAAUGAGCCGAUGUCGGAUUAGCUAGUUGGCGGGGUAAAGGCCCACCAAGGCGACGAUCCGUAGCUGGUCUGAGAGGAUGAACGGCCAAAAUGGAAAGAAAAACAGGGCCAGACGCCUGAGGGAGGGAGCAGGGGGGAAUUUUGGGAAAUGGGGGGAAGCCUGAAGCAGCCAAGCCGGGGGGGGGGGAAAGGCCUUCGGGUUGUAAAACUCUUUUUGUGGGGAAAAAAAAACAGGAGAUAAACACCGCGUUGUUUGAAGGGAACAAAAAAAAAAGACACGGAUAACUUCGGG